RNAcentral lists this long non-coding RNA (334 nucleotides) under Carica papaya (papaya). RNAcentral's name for it is "long non-coding RNA (CPAP_LNC015559)". The record is from RNAcentral. Lineage: Eukaryota; Viridiplantae; Streptophyta; Magnoliopsida; Brassicales; Caricaceae.
AUAUGCGCGGAUCUGCGUCCACAUAUUGUGCGGCGUGCGUGUGCGCCGUCUUUGCUCUUGCUCGUGUGUGCUGCACGCCUUUCUUCUCGUACGGUUGCAAACUCGCGGAUAAUUAUCCUGCGGAACUCUUGAUUACUACAGGAUAUCUCCUUGAUACGGGAUUGCAUCAUCAGAACUAAAUUUGAGCCUCCUGAGAUCACAUCAUAUGGUAUUUUUCAUUCAGAAAAAUACCCUUAAUAGGCCUAGGCUUGAAGGAAGAGGUUUAUUAACGGGCUUUAAAAACCUCACCCACUUGCGCAUCUCAAAGGAUGAAGCUUUCAACAUCAGCUUCAGG